RNAcentral lists this long non-coding RNA (572 nucleotides) under Sus scrofa (pig). RNAcentral describes it as "lncRNA (ENSSSCG00040044751.1)". Lineage: Eukaryota; Metazoa; Chordata; Mammalia; Artiodactyla; Suidae. The record is from RNAcentral.
UCCUCGAAUUCCCACCCAAUAUCAAAGCCAAUCACUGAUUGCGUUUGAAGAUGGAAGCCCUUGUGGCAUCAACAAACAGGAGCUUGAGUGGGUCACGCCAGUUCUUUGUUGAAAAGGAAACAAAUCCAUAAAAGAACAUGCUGUUCUUUAAAAGUUGUAUUUUAACUUAAGGAUAAACUGUGGGAUUAAUAUUUUGACCUAACUUGCGUUCUGAGGUUUGGUUGGGUUAUUUUUCUUUUUUUAAAGACCUAAUGAUUAAGACAGACUCCAGUGUUAUGGCCUAUCUGUGAAGUGUCACCCACACGUCUCAUAAACACACAGCCUUUACCAGCAUAUCCUGUUCUAGGUUUCACAGAAACUCACUUAACUCUCAUGGCAACACUUCAAGGCAGCCAGGCAAGUGUUAGUACUCCCAUUUUAUGGUUGAGGAAAUUAAGGCCCUCAAAGAGUUAAGGUUUAAACCUAUGUCUUUCCACUACAGCUUAUAUAUGAAGAGCCCUGUCAAUUUUCCCACCGCUGUGCAUCAUGGAUACCAAACAGCCACACACAGAAAAGAGAGGUGCAACUGCUGA